GGGACUGUGCAAUAUUUAUCUGAGGGUGGGGCCGGUGUACAGCAAAUAUUAAAAAAAAAAAAACUGUAUGCCCCGCCAAUAUUUAUUAUAAAAAAAGUUCUUGCCCCGCUUCAAUUAAUGAAAAAAAAAAGUCCUUGCCCCGCUGGAAAAAAAUGAAACACAUAUAUGGAAACAUGAUAUUUUUUAACUAAAAUGCACAACAUUCAAUAAUACAUGC
RNAcentral lists this long non-coding RNA (217 nucleotides) under Mytilus galloprovincialis (Mediterranean mussel). The record is from RNAcentral. Lineage: Eukaryota; Metazoa; Mollusca; Bivalvia; Mytilida; Mytilidae.